Molecule: long non-coding RNA, 105 nt
Organism: Cotesia glomerata
Lineage: Eukaryota; Metazoa; Arthropoda; Insecta; Hymenoptera; Braconidae
Exons: 3
Source: RefSeq, a predicted model, not a curated record
UUAUCGUCAAUAAAGCUUUCAUAUAUGGACUCUGUUAUGCAAUAGUGUGUUAAGUACAUAGGAUUUCCAUAGCACUUAACACAUUGAUGCAUAACAGUAUCCAUA